CUACGGGACGCUCCAGUGGGGAAUAUUGGACAAUGGACCAAAAGUCUGAUCCAGCAAUUCUGUGUGCACGAUGAAGGUCUUCGGAUUGUAAAGUGCUUUCAGUAGGGAAGAAGAAUGUGACGGUACCUACAGAAGAAGCGACGGCUAAAUACGUGCCAGCAGCCGCGGUAAUACGUAUGUCGCAAGCGUUAUCCGGAAUUAUUGGGCAUAAAGGGCGUCUAGGUGGUUUACUAAGUCUGAUGUGAGAAUGCGGGGCUCAACUCCGUAUUGCGUUGGAAACUGGUUUACUAGAGUCUUGGAGAGGUGGGCGGAACUACAAGUGUAGAGGUGAAAUUCGUAGAUAUUUGUAGGAAUGCCGAUGACGAAGGUAGCUCACUGGACAAGUACUGACACUAAAGCGCGAAAGCUAGGGGAGCAAACAGGAUUAGAUACCCCCGUAGUC
Molecule: ribosomal RNA, 442 nt
Filed under: uncultured bacterium
Lineage: Bacteria
Description: partial 16S ribosomal RNA
Rfam family: Bacterial small subunit ribosomal RNA
Source: RNAcentral